GAACUAGACCUGCAAAGAAAUAAUCAGGCUUGGAAUCAAGAAUGACUAUAGCCUAAUUCAUUAAUUUCAAGGAAUUUAAAAGUGAAAUUUCUAUUUGAUAAUUUGAUUGACUAUUUAUAUUUUGGUGCACUUCUAGAGCUAUUUAGAACCGAAAAUUCCACUUUUAAGAUUAGGAUGGGGGCUUGCAGUGCUACCAAUAAAGGGCAAAGGCAAAGAGGAGGGUGGAGAAAAA
RNAcentral lists this long non-coding RNA (232 nucleotides) under Elaeis guineensis (African oil palm). RNAcentral describes it as "long non-coding RNA (EGUI_LNC009931)". Lineage: Eukaryota; Viridiplantae; Streptophyta; Magnoliopsida; Arecales; Arecaceae. The record is from RNAcentral.